Molecule: ribosomal RNA, 460 nt
Filed under: uncultured bacterium
Lineage: Bacteria
Description: partial 16S ribosomal RNA
Rfam family: Bacterial small subunit ribosomal RNA
Source: RNAcentral
CCUACGGGAGGCAGCAGUGAGGAAUAUUGGUCAAUGGACGAGAGUCUGAACCAGCCAAGUAGCGUGAAGGAUGACUGCCCUAUGGGUUGUAAACUUCUUUUAUAUAGGAAUAAAACGAGGCACGUGUGGCUUUUUGUAUGUACUAUAUGAAUAAGGAUCGGCUAACUCCGUGCCAGCAGCCGCGGUACUACGGAGGAUCCGAGCGUUAUCCGGAUUUAUUGGGUGUAAAGGGAGCGUAGAUGGAUUGUUAAGGCAGUUGUGAAAGUUUGCGGCUCAACCGUAAAAUUGCAGUUGAAACUGGCAGUCUUGAGUACAGUAGAGGUGAGCGGAAUUCGUGGUGUAGCGGUGAAAUGCUUAGAUAUCACGAAGAACCCCGAUUGCGAAGGCAGCUUACUAAACUGCAACUGACAUUGAUGCUCGAAAGUGUGGGUAUCAAACAGGAUUAGAUACCCUUGUAGUC